RNAcentral lists this ribosomal RNA (207 nucleotides) under uncultured bacterium. Its description in RNAcentral is "partial 16S ribosomal RNA". It matches the Rfam family "Bacterial small subunit ribosomal RNA", at positions 568 to 774 of the family's 1533-position model. The record is from RNAcentral.
CUCGUAGGCGGUUCGUCGCGUCCGGUGUGAAAGCCCAUCGCUUAACGGUGGAUCCGCGCCGGGUACGGGCGGGCUGGAGUGCGGUAGGGGAGACUGGAAUUCCCGGUGUAACGGUGGAAUGUGUAGAUAUCGGGAAGAACACCAAUGGCGAAGGCAGGUCUCUGGGCCGUUACUGACGCUGAGGAGCGAAAGCGUGGGGAGCGAACA